GAUGAACGCUGGCGGCGUGCCUAAUACAUGCAAGUAGAACGCUGAAGGAGGAGCUUGCUCUUCUGGAUGAGUUGCGAACGGGUGAGUAACGCGUAGGUAACCUGCCUGGUAGCGGGGGAUGACUAUUGGAAACGAUAGCUAAUACCACAUGACAACAGUUAUUGCAUGAUAACUGUUUAAAAGGGGCAACUGCUCCACUACCAGAUGGACCUGCGUUGUAUUAGCUAGUUGGUGAGGUAACGGCUCACCAAGGCGACGAUACAUAGCCGACCUGAGAGGGUGAUCGGCCACACUGGGACUGAGACACGGCCCAGACUCCUACGGGAGGCAGCAGUAGGGAAUCUUCGGCAAUGGACGGAAGUCUGACCGAGCAACGCCGCGUGAGUGAAGAAGGUUUUCGGAUCGUAAAGCUCUGUUGUAAGAGAAGAACGAGUGUGAGAGUGGAAAGUUCACACUGUGACGGUAUCUGACCAGAAAGGGACGGCUAACUACGUG
Molecule: ribosomal RNA, 495 nt
Filed under: uncultured bacterium
Lineage: Bacteria
Description: partial 16S ribosomal RNA
Rfam family: Bacterial small subunit ribosomal RNA
Source: RNAcentral